AAAAGUCCCUGAACUUCAACCCUUCAUAUCUUUUUAACCACAACUCCAAAUGAGGUGAUUCCAAAGCCCAUUUCUUCAUCUCAUCGAGCCCGUUCUAUUGGUUUCAUUUUCACUAUGGUUUAACACUGUGAAAAUGACCUUUUUCCCUUGCACGUAAACAGCCCCUCCGAGAGAGAACUGUUUCCGGCAAAUCUUUUUGCGGCUUCACCGCACUUCUUGCCAGUGCCAUCUUCACCCCCAGGCAAGCCACAAUACCCACUUGCAUGAUAGUCAUGCAGUAGCCAUGGUUUUCAACUUGAAUAUUUAUUAAAUGAUUGCUUGUUUAAAAUAUGGUUAUCGUUGUUUCGAAAAUGCUUCUGGGAUUGUGCUUACUUGUUUGCUAUGUUGUUAUGCACCUGGUUAUCAUGCCCUGCUAGUUGCUAGUAUUACUUUCAUAUUGCCAUGCUUGAUAGUAGUACAUGUUGGGUUGGUCAUGCUCUUUGGUGCAUGACUAACGUCGGUUACCGAGUACUGUAAAUAGGCAUUGUUCCGUUGCUGUUAGUUGGCUAAGUGUUACUCGGUGAUUUUAUUGAUAAGUUCUUGCAUGUUAUUUAUGGUUGAUGCUAGUGGCCGUGUUAUGUUAUACUGUGAGUAGUGUUGCACUUGUAAUAUUUAUGCUCAUCUUUAUGCCAUGUUUAGUUGGAGAUUAUUUCAUAGUUGAUAUGAUGGACAGUUAUGUUGCAUCCUGUGCUUAUGUUGAUGCAUUGUCAUUGCAUCAUGUUAUUUUAUCAUGGCUCAGCAUAUUGCAUUCAAGUUUAACCGGAUUAAAUUGAACUUGAACAAUUGUUGGCUGUGUCAUGGUGCCACCAUAUUGAAACUGACCAUUGCAACCACACUUACUGUAUGGGUAAGGUCCUAACUGGGUCUGUUGUCGUGCAUCUCGCCGGUGCCUCCCAUGAGGGAAGGUUAUGGACGUGCUUACCCUGAUCAGGUAGGCUGACAUAACCUUGUGUGCUCGUUGUUUUUAUUUUUAUGGAUCCAGUCCCCGAGUGGGAGUGUCCCUGUGAGGGAGUUUUGACCACGACGGUGGUCGGGGUGUCUUUGGUAGACACAGGGCCACCCAGGACUAGCCCAGCUGGGAAUGGGUCGGAGUGGCCGGGAGAGUGUCACGGCAGUAGAUCGGUUUUGUUGGAACGCUGUUGGUCCACCCGAAUGGGAGUGCGAGGCCAUGGGUUCCAUGGUGUGGGUACAGUGUGCUACCUCUGCAGAGUGUAUAUUAAAUCUAUCAAUAGCCACGCCCGCGGAUAAGGGCCCAGUUCGUGUCAGUCCCACCGUGAGUCAACAAUAUUAAUAAUAACUUGAUUAAUGACAACCCCGGUUCGAUGAUGAAAUAAGUUGGUGGUGAUCGCCGUAAGGAUCAUGGGUUACUUUGGUGGUGAUUGCCAUAAGGAUCACAAGUUACUUUGGUGGUGAUCACUGUAAGGAUCACGAGUUACUUUGGUGGUGAUUGCCGUAAGGAUCAUGAGUUACUUUGGUUGUGAUCGCCGUAAUGAUCACUGUGGUAUCGAGGAUACCGAGUUGUUGGAUAUUCGUGAUGUUGUGCGAGAAAUCAUGGGUAAAGAGCAAGCUCCUUGUGGCCAUUCAAUGAUUACUACGGUAUUGUUUAUACCAAGCUUGAUUUGAUCCUAAGAUGAUCGCGUAAUGUCCGAGGUGGGUAAGUGAUGCGCGUGAUGGUUACGAGUAACCCGAGCAAAAUAAUUGGUGCAUUUAGUGUCAUCAUGUUGCAUGCUAGUAUUGUCAGAUUUAUAUGUUCUUGCCAUGCUCAUAUUGUUCUGGCUAUAUCAGGUUCAUAUUGACUUUGGAUUCUUAGUGGCUAUUAUGAUUAUUUUCAUGAUGGUAUUUGGUAUUAUUUGGAGUAUUACUUUGGAUAUCAUGUGCUCAUGUUAUGUUGUUAUAUUGAUCUCAUGUUAAUUGCUGCUUAACCUGUAAUUGCCAUGCUGUUGUUUGUCUUGAAUGCUUCUGGUUAUUGUGAGCUUGCAAGUACAUUCAAUGUACUGACCUGGCGUGUCAUGCCAGCUUGCAGGUCAUGCCUGGAUUGCUUGCUUGUUUGGUGUUGUUCCCGUGUUCGCGAGCUAGGAUAAACGUUCCAGCCAGAGUCCCUGCGGAUUGGAGUCCAUCAUCGUCGUUCGUUGUUCCGC
This 2177-nucleotide long non-coding RNA is filed under the name Triticum aestivum (bread wheat). Its description in RNAcentral is "long non-coding RNA (TAES_LNC024356)". The record is from RNAcentral. Lineage: Eukaryota; Viridiplantae; Streptophyta; Magnoliopsida; Poales; Poaceae.